This is a long non-coding RNA of Salvia splendens (bonfire salvia), 474 nucleotides long. RefSeq lists it as uncharacterized. The record is from RefSeq and is a predicted model, not a curated record. The transcript has 3 exons. NCBI's taxonomy places the organism in Eukaryota, Viridiplantae, Streptophyta, Magnoliopsida, Lamiales, Lamiaceae.
GGGCGACGUCGUUUCUUAUGCUCCCUUCAAUAAUCGCCAUCGCGGAUAUACUGAUCUCAACAAGACUCUUGUUGUACCAAAUGGGCAUGUUUGGGUUGAAGGGGAUUAUUUGCUCGACAGUAGUUCCUUACGGGUAUCUACGCUAUAGAGUGUUUGCUGUGUUGGAUCAUAAUCAGAAUCAGAGACGGAACUACAUAGUGCCAAGCCCCCGCCGGGGCUUGGCCGGCACCAAAUGCUGAUAACCCCUUACACGUCUUUCCUCCGACCAGUCUCCGCCCCAGAGAGGGCCAGCCGUUUAGUGUUCAGACUUGAGCGCCGCCUAUACUCUGAAUCUGAAAAUUGAAAAAUGAAGGAGGAGAAGACUUGGGCUUAAUAGUUUUGGGUUAUUUAUUUAAUUGUUGGGCUACUGUUUAAUUUUGGGCUAUAAUACCCUUUAUAUACUUCCGUCUUUUUAGUUAUAUAAACUUAUCUUCU